This 369-nucleotide transfer-messenger RNA is filed under the name Lactobacillus helveticus H10. RNAcentral describes it as "transfer-messenger RNA Lacto_helve_H10". It matches the Rfam family "transfer-messenger RNA". From Rfam's summary of the family: Bacterial tmRNA, also known as 10Sa RNA or SsrA, is named for its dual tRNA and mRNA-like properties. Its role is to liberate the mRNA from a stalled ribosome. To accomplish this part of the tmRNA is used as a reading frame that ends in a translation stop signal. The record is from RNAcentral. Lineage: Bacteria; Bacillati; Bacillota; Bacilli; Lactobacillales; Lactobacillaceae.
GGGGAUGUUUUUGGGAUUCGACAGGCGUAGAUUCGCAUUGACUGCGAUUCGUAGGUUACGUCUACGUAAAAACGUUACAGUUAAAUAUAACUGCAAAUAACAAAAAUUCUUACGCAUUAGCUGCUUAAUUUAGCGCAUGCGUUGCUCUUUGUCGGUUUACUCGUGGCUGACACUGAGUAUCAACUUUAGCGAGUUACGUUUAACUAUCUCACCUGAAUAGUUGAAAAGAGUCUUAACAGGUUAGCUAGCUCAUCCUAGCCCUGUUAUAUGGCGUUUUGAGCUAGUGAAGUUCAAGUAAUAUAACUAUGAUCGUAGAGGUCAGUGACGGAAUGCGUUUGGACAGGGGUUCAACUCCCCUCAUCUCCACCA